UUAGAGGGACUAUGCACGUUUAAUUCAUGGAAGUUUGAGGCAAUAACAGGUCUGUGAUGCCCUUAGAUGUUCUGGGCCGCACGCGCGCUACACUGAUAAAGGCAACAAGUUUAUCACCUUGGCCGGAAGGUCUGGGUAAUCUUCUGAAACUUUAUCGUGAUGGGGAUAGUCCUUUGCAAUUAUUGGACUUCAACGAGGAAUUCCUAGUAAGCGUGAGUCAUCAGCUCGCGUUGAUUACGUCCCUGCCCUUUGUACACACCGCCCGUCGCUACUACCGA
Molecule: ribosomal RNA, 278 nt
Filed under: uncultured fungus
Lineage: Eukaryota; Fungi
Description: partial 18S ribosomal RNA
Rfam family: Eukaryotic small subunit ribosomal RNA
Source: RNAcentral